Molecule: long non-coding RNA, 4169 nt
Organism: Oncorhynchus tshawytscha (Chinook salmon)
Lineage: Eukaryota; Metazoa; Chordata; Actinopteri; Salmoniformes; Salmonidae
Source: Ensembl
GUCCCAAUACCUUGGCAUCGAGUCUAUGAACUGACAUAUAAAACAAUUAUUGACAUUAAUUUUAAUUUAAGCUAUUAUAAAAUACUUACUUCAAAAAGAAUGCUCAAUAUAUAUGGGCCAUUGGACAGUCAGCCUUGUGCACCCUCUGCCACGAGGAAAUAGAAUCAAUAGAACAGUCAGCCUUGUGCAGACUCUGCCACUAGGAAAUAGAAUCAAUAGAACAGUCAGCCUUGUGCAGACUCUGCCACUAGGAAAUAGAAUCAAUAGAACAGUCAGCCUUGUGCAGACUCUGCCACAAGGAAAUAGAAUCAAUAGAACAGUCAGCCUUGUGCACCUUCUGCCACGAGGAAAUAGAAUCAAUAGAACAGUCAGCCUUUUGCAGACUCUGCAACGAAGAAAUAGAAUCAAUAGAACAGUCAGCCUUGUGUAUACUCUGCCACGAGGAAACAGAAUACUGUCCAUCGGUGGCUCGCUUUGGAGUCAGGUCCAGGAAUGGUUAUGUCAUAUCAGGGUUCAGAUGGACAUGCCGACUAUUGUCAUGGCAUUGGAACAACCACGAUCAGUCAAUGGGGAAACAUCAUUGUAGUCUUGGGUAAAGUAUUUAUUUGCAGGGCAAUAUCGGUAGAAAUGUUACAAAUAGGGAGGUUCAGGAGCCUCGUAAGACAUCACAGUAAAAUGGAGGGAUGUAUUGCAGAAGGAAAUUGUUAUACUGUGAAAGAUGGGUUAAUCUGUGGACACCUUUAGGGUUGGCGUAAUACUGGGAAAGAUGGGUUAAUCUGGACACCUUUAGGGUUAGCGUAAAACUGGGAAAGAUGGGUUAAUCUGUGGACAUGGGAAGGUUGGUGUAAUACUGGGAAAGAUGGGUUAAUCUGUGGACACCGGAGGGUUAGUGUAAUACUGGGAAAGAUGGGUUAAUCUGUGGACAUGGGAAGGUUAGUGUAAUACUGGGAAAGAUGGGUUAAUCUGUGGACACCGGAGGGUUGGCGUUAAGAUCGGGAAGAAAAUGUGAAUUGGCUGCUGUGGGUGAAAAUCGAGCACUUGAAGAAAGAGUAAAUUAGAAAUAUAAAUGUAUAGUUAUUUAAUGACCGGUACUGUAGAUGUGAGUGAAACAGCAGUAAAUAGCAGAAGUAUUGUAGUCUGUUUAUUCCAAUUAGAGUAGGGAAAUGAACAAAUAAGGAGAUUGGAAAUGAUGCAGACAAUUUCAUGGAUAGAACCUACAUUCUAUCUGCAAUAUUAAAGCUGAUCUACCUGCCCCCCCCACAAAAAAAAUGGAAUUAAUGUUUUGCUCCAUGAGGUAAUCCAACAAUGUGUACACCACCAUCGUGCUCAUCUUCUCUCAUUGAUUAAGUCAGGUGGGUGUCCACCCUGUAGUGCCACAUGUCAUGAUGAAACUCACUUGACUUUGAAAUAGUCAAGAUGGUGGCGUACAGAUUGUUGGAUUACUUCAUAGAUCAAAAAAUGUAUAACAGCAUAUUCUAAAUUAAAACGAACUCCCUGCAACUAGAUAUGGUUGUUUUAGAAUACAUUUGGUCUUCCAAGUCAGGAAUUGAGGAAGUCUCGCCAAGUAAACGUUGGUUAAAUUCUAUGUGCUAUGCCAAACAGUACCUAACCUGUAACGGCUGAUGGAGCAUCACAUUAGCCAUUACAAUAUGCUAGCUAAACCACACCACUCCUGUUAUUCAAUCAACAAUCUGUUUACACUCACUGUCUGCUCCCACACACCUCCCAAAAAGGUAGAGUCCUUAUCCCAUUGCUUCAGGAGCAACGUCAUGGCAACGUCAUUUUGUGGGCGCUGUAUAACAUGCCCUACAGAUUCACCUGCUUUGAUGGCUCUCGCUAAUCACCAGACUGACUCCAGUGCUGCCUAGUCAUCUUUUUAUGUACAGGCUGGGGUUUCUCUAGGAUAUCGUACCUGUUCUAGUACCACGAGAGAAACCAUUUCCCCCUUUUUUUGUUGUUGACAAGCUUAGACUUUCAACAGAAGAGUUGUGGAUGGAUGCAUUUGUUGGAGUGGGAUAGUUGUAAUUUUUUCUCAUUUUGUUUCUGUAUAGUCGUGAUAAUACAUACUUGAAGUUGUAUGUACAAAUAAGACUGAGGAGAGUAACAGAUUACUACAAAACACUUAAUACUCUGUUCAUUUACAGCUAAAAAUCUCAUGUUUUUCAGUGUUAUGGCUGCAUUAGAAAUACAAUAAUGACCUUGCGGUCAUAGUCAAUGUGUACAACAGGUUUAUUUAUUUGCAGUCUUCUUCAGGACCUACUCAUUAACCCAUUGCAUCAAUACGAGAACAUGUUAUUGCUGUCCUUGGGGUAAUGACUCAGAAUUUAGCUUGAUUGAUGGCCCUUUGGUAAACAUGAUACAGAUAAAUAAAUCCCAAUUAAAAUCAGUGGACGGCCAUGGCUAAAUAUGAAUGAUAUGUGUUUGAUGUGUCGUCUUCGGACUUGUGUGAUACAAGGAAAGCUUGGAAGACUUAUAAAUCUACGGUAAAAUGUGAAUGAAAGUUUUCUCUUGUGUGAUGUUGCGCUAUAGCUGCCUGUUAAGACACCAGAGAACAACUGUACAGUUUUUUUUAUGUAGAUACAAAAUGUCAGAUUUCCCUAUGGUGUAGAAUGCGUGGCUCUUGGGAAUGUGACAAUGUGCAUGUUUACCGUCACGAUACACUAAAAGAUAUGAGUAUGAGUGACUCUUGUGUCUUUUUGAAAAUGAUCUCCUGUUGACGCCUUAUAACAAAACCUAUUGCCUCUUCCAAUAUGGCAGUUGUUCUUUUUAUUUAUUGGUUGGUGUGCCGUAACUUUCCACUGUUUUUGUCUUUUUCCUCAGUUUGCCCCACCUCUUGAGCCCCUAAACUUUUACGCAACCACCCAUAGGCACAUUGUAUCUGUCCCAUUAUGGCGUCUGUGAGAGCACCGGCAGCGCCAUUGAGGCCAUCUCCAUUUUGAAGUAGUCAAUUUUGUCAUUCUCCUUCUAUGAGUUGGCAAACAAACUGAAAGGGUGCACACUGCCAUCUAGAGUGUGUUUGAACAGGUAUAAAGACUAGAUUCGGCUAUUUACUGCCACCUGCAGUUAUGGAAUGUUUUCUCACAAGUAUAAUUCAUUGGCUGAUCCCUCCUGGUGACCUGGAUUUAAUUAUGUGAUCCUUCCUUAAGCCAUAGGAAUCCCCACCCAGAUUACUACUUUAAAAUGCUGGGAGCCCUCAAUGGCAAUGUCCAUGAAAAAAUAGGUUUUCUACAUCUAGAGACCUCUCAUUCUCUUUGUCAACAACCACACUUUUGACAUUUGCAUACAUCAAGUGACUGACUUGACUGCUUUGGGAGCCAGUCAUGUGUCAUUUCUUCUCCUUUAUCAUGAAACUUCUCCCCCUUCACAGAAGAAAUGCUUCUCCACUCAUUUUGAGUUCUUAUCAUAUCAGGAUAAGAUAAUUAUAUUACUCUACUCUUUGUUGAGAUGUGUGAAUACCAACUUGCGUCUAGGCAGUGGAACUGUAGUUUAGUUUGCAGUGAAAGCGAGGUCCCACAAAGUUAUCUAUGGGGUGAGAUAAGGACACCCAGCUGUGUGUUAAGGUCUGUAUCUCGUCUGUUUUUUUUCUUCAGUGUCUGGCUCCUCUUAGGUCUUUUAACAAAUAUUCCCAUUUUAAGUGUGCAAAAUCGAGAGAAUCAAAGCUUUGAGCUGAGCAUUUCACAAAGUAUGCUUCAGAUGUAUUUUAUUUUUUAAGGUUUAGCAUUACUCAUGUGGUCAAGAGUCUGUCUUUACAGGCGUUUUGUGAACCCCAUAGGGAAUGGAACCAGAGCAGUUAUUACUAUUCUUGGUGCACCGGUGUUCCUAUUGAUAGAAAGGGAUCUUUACUGAGCAUUUCAAUCACCAGCUUUGUUUUUAUUCUGCUUUGCGCCAUUUUUGUUUUGGAUAACUAUUGACCAUGCCACAUAAUGGUCUCUGAUAAUAUGCCCGCCAUACUUGUCAGUUUUAUUCUGCCAAAUGGAAGAAAGAGCUCUUUGUCUGUCUUGUUUUGAAACGUAAAUAAAGAUGGGCUGAUGUUUUAAAGUCCAGACUUAUUCUUUAUCAUCCACUUUGAUAGUUGACCAUUGUUCAAAAACUCUUGUUUCUGACUUUAACAAUGUUGUAAUAUAUACACUGCUCAAAAAAAUAAAGGGAACACUAAAAUAACACAUCCU